AACAGAAUAUGAUAAUUUCUAUGUAUAACCUCAUUAAUAUGGUCUGAGGGUCUCUACCAGGAACCGUAAAAUCCUGAUUACAGAAAAUGAUUUCAUUUUU
This 100-nucleotide non-coding RNA is filed under the name Paenibacillus sp. RNAcentral's name for it is "Guanine sequence". It matches the Rfam family "Purine riboswitch aptamer". From Rfam's summary of the family: Riboswitches are metabolite binding domains within certain messenger RNAs that serve as precision sensors for their corresponding targets. Allosteric rearrangement of mRNA structure is mediated by ligand binding, and this results in modulation of gene expression. RNAcentral also lists the same sequence under 1 other name. Lineage: Bacteria; Bacillati; Bacillota; Bacilli; Caryophanales; Paenibacillaceae. The record is from RNAcentral.